Molecule: long non-coding RNA, 337 nt
Organism: Drosophila simulans
Lineage: Eukaryota; Metazoa; Arthropoda; Insecta; Diptera; Drosophilidae
Exons: 2
Source: RefSeq, a predicted model, not a curated record
GGCCUGCUUGAAAUUAGGGAUAAGGCCCGGCUUAAAUCCUCAGAGCGUCCCACAUCAAAAGGGAGAUGGCUCGCAAGGAAAAAAAAAAGGAAAGAAAACUGUUCAAUCUGGACGGCGUGUUCAUGAAAAUAUCAAAUCCAAAACUGGCUGAGCCUCAUCUGCCAGUGAAAGCCAAUUUUUCAGUUAAUGGCCGGGAUUACCCGGUUGGAAUGUCAUUUGCUAAGACUGAGCCACUGCCAAAAGGAAUUAAAAUUGGAGACGCGAGUCGUUUAAUGUUGCCAAUCGAGAAACCUUUCUUUGCAGCUCUUUUGCAAGUUAUUGCGAUGGCUAAAAUCCC